GACGAACGCUGGCGGCGUGCUUAACACAUGCAAGUCGAACGGUGAAGCGCCUUCCUUUUUGGUGGGUGUGGAUGAGUGGCGAACGGGUGAGUAACACGUGAGUAACCUGCCCCCUUCUUCUGGAUAACCGCAUGAAAGUGUGGCUAAUACGGGAUAUUCUGGGUCUGUCGCAUGAUGGGUCUGGGAAAGAUAUUGUUUCGGUGGGGGAUGGGCUCGCGGCCUAUCAGCUUGUUGGUGGGGUGAUGGCCUACCAAGGCGGUGACGGGUAGCCGGCCUGAGAGGGGGGACGGACACAGGGGGAAUGAGACACGGCCGGGACCCAGACGGGGGGAGGGAGGGGGGAAGAUGGCAGAGGGGGCGCAGGCUGGAUGCGGCGAGGCCGGGUGAGGGAGGGGGGCUUUGGGUUUGGGAACCUCUUCCGCAGGGGAAGGAGGCUUGCCGGGUUUGUGGGGGGGUGGAGGGGGGGUGAAAAAGAGGCGCGGACAAACAAGGUC
RNAcentral lists this ribosomal RNA (494 nucleotides) under uncultured bacterium. RNAcentral's name for it is "partial 16S ribosomal RNA". The stretch from base 13 to 382 matches the Rfam family "Bacterial small subunit ribosomal RNA", at positions 40 to 399 of the family's 1533-position model. The record is from RNAcentral.